This 72-nucleotide transfer RNA is filed under the name Nitzschia sp. PL3-2. RNAcentral describes it as "tRNA-Ala". It matches the Rfam family "tRNA". Rfam says of the family: Transfer RNA (tRNA) molecules are approximately 80 nucleotides in length. Their secondary structure includes four short double-helical elements and three loops (D, anti-codon, and T loops). Lineage: Eukaryota; Bacillariophyta; Bacillariophyceae; Bacillariales; Bacillariaceae. The record is from RNAcentral.
GGGGAUAUAGCUUAGGGGUAGAGCAUCGCUUUUGCAUAGCGAAUGUCGGUGGUUCGAAUCCACUUAUCUCCA